CACGUAGGGGGCAAGCGUUGUCCGGAUUUAUUGGGCGUAAAGAGCUCGUAGGCGGUUCGGUAAGUCGGGUGUGAAACCUCCAGGCUCAACCUGGAGACGCCACUCGAUACUGCCAUGGCUUGAGUCUGGUAGGGGAUCACGGAAUUCCUGGUGUAGCGGUGAAAUGCGCAGAUAUCAGGAGGAACACCGGUGGCGAAGGCGGUGAUCUGGGCCAGUACUGACGCUGAGGAGCGAAAGCGUGGGGAGCAAACAGG
Molecule: ribosomal RNA, 254 nt
Filed under: uncultured bacterium
Lineage: Bacteria
Description: partial 16S ribosomal RNA
Rfam family: Bacterial small subunit ribosomal RNA
Source: RNAcentral